CCGUCAAGAGGGCCUGAUCGGAAUCCAUCGUAUCGAUCGUCUCGCCUGUGUCCUGUCCUGUGCCUGUGCUGUCUGUAUCGACUGGUGGUGCUAUAUCCCCUGUGUGUUAAUUGAUUUUGGAGAAUGUUCAGACGUAUAUCUAUGUCUAAGAAAUGGAGUUCGAGUUAAACUUUGCUGAGACUUCUCUUGUCUAUAUAAUAUUAUUAGUAGGAAUCAAUCUUCAAUCCCUGAUUUAUUCAGAUGCUACUCUUUGCACAAGACUAGUUUAGUCACUACAUGAAGGUUGAUUUACACCGACUCACAGUUGAAUGCUAAAAGCGCCUUUAGCGACUUAGGUUAGUAACUAAAGACUUUUAGCGACAUAUAAAGACGGUCGCUGUAAGUGUGGUCACUAAAGGCUUUAGCGACCGACAUCUGUUUAGUGAGGAUCGUCCGUUGCUAAUUAUUAUACUAUACAUUUACCAACAAACAGAAAGUUACCAUAUUUACCGUUAUUAUUAAUAAUAUACAAUUAAUGAUACAUACAAAGCGCCAUAAACCAUAGAUUUUUUAUACACAUAAUCAUAUACACAAUUAAUUAGUAUUUCACAAUCAUAGGGCCAUAUUUACAAAAGCACCACACUUAUAUUAUUCAGAGCUACAUCACUAACACAGGCCACACAUGUUAUCGUAUUUUGUACAUGUAUUUACAAACAUUUUAUAAAAUCAUUCACAAAAGAACUAAAGCUUUUUCAAUCUGUACCGCCGCUCUUCAAAUCCGCCUGGACGGAUCCCUCCGCUCUCCAAUCGGUCGGAGCAGGAGCCUGAAGCAUGCCAGCACCUUUGGAGCAAGGGCCGGGACAGGACGACCUCCGUGGUGGCUCAAAGCUUGCGGAGUCUCUCCAUCGUCGCCUACAUCCACUGCCAGGAAGCGAAGUCUUCCGACUUCAGCACGAGCGCGCGACAGAGAGAGAAGGCGAUGGCUACUAGCGACCCCUAAAUCGAGACAAGGGGUGAGGGGAGAAGGGGGAGCCACUGCACUCAACUGCAGAAGACCUGCGUGCGCCGCCAGUCAGAGAGUCGUGUCGUCGUGCUAAGAAUGUGUUCAGCGGUUCCCACUAAAUUUCUCCCUCUAUAUCCCACUCAUAUACCACGUUAGUUUUCUCUUCCCUCAUAUAUCUCCACGCUGUACAGCGGUUCCCCCUAUAUCAAACCUCUAUAUCUCACUAAAACCAUAAAAUAACAUUUUCUAUAUAUUUUCAUCAUUUAUUACCAUUUUUCUUUCAACUAGCAAAUACUGGCGCUCACCAACUUUGAGAUAAGGAGGCGGACUAGCGUGCCCCUCGAUCUGGUGAACUUCUCUGCUCCACCCUACUACUGUAUCGCAUAUAGGAGUAUUUAGCGUCGAACGCUGAAGUCCAAGAGCGACGCUAAAGGCAUACAGGGCAAGGGGAGGGAACACCGUUGAAGACGGUCUAAGUCGCGCACAUAUUGGAUGGGAGAUAGGGAGGGGGCAGGAUUGAUAGCCAGCUGUUGGGCCAACCCUAACCAUAUGGGCCUAGUUUUUUUAGCGACUAAGACUGACUCCAACAGGGCAGCUAAAUGGACAUGCAAAGCCAAAAUAGUUGUUCACGAGCUACUGUAGCAGUACAAAA
Molecule: long non-coding RNA, 1634 nt
Filed under: Zea mays
Lineage: Eukaryota; Viridiplantae; Streptophyta; Magnoliopsida; Poales; Poaceae
Description: long non-coding RNA (ZMAY_LNC004623)
Source: RNAcentral